RNAcentral lists this transfer RNA (62 nucleotides) under Euglandina singleyana. Its description in RNAcentral is "tRNA-Lys". The record is from RNAcentral. Lineage: Eukaryota; Metazoa; Mollusca; Gastropoda; Stylommatophora; Spiraxidae.
UUUUUUAUGGCCGAGAUUAGGCAGUAGAUUUUUAAUUUACCUACGGAUUUGUCCUUUGCGAU